This 303-nucleotide long non-coding RNA is filed under the name Olea europaea (common olive). RNAcentral's name for it is "long non-coding RNA (OEUR_LNC004128)". Lineage: Eukaryota; Viridiplantae; Streptophyta; Magnoliopsida; Lamiales; Oleaceae. The record is from RNAcentral.
AGAUGCGGAUGAAGGGGUUCCUGUUACAGCACCAGGCUUGAUUCUGAUGCCUGAAGAAGCAUUUCGUGAAGAGGGAAAAAUGAAUGUUUCUAAUACCUUAGUUGAAUCUGAGGGUGCUGAGGAGUUCAAUGCGACGCAGGUAACGGCAUAAGAAUAAUUCUUUGCUUUUUAUUGUUGUUUUUUGUCUUUCAUCUUACCAGAGAGAAACUCUAGGAAAAGAAAAUCAGAGAGGAAGCAAAGAAGAAAUGAGUCGCACGUUGACGCAAAACCUCGUACAUUAACGAGUAGGAUGUUUUGUCACUA